CAGGCCUAACACAUGCAAGUCGAACGAUGAAGCCCAGCUUGCUGGGUGGAUUAGUGGCGAACGGGUGAGUAACACGUGAGUAACCUGCCCUUAACUCUGGGAUAAGCCUGGGAAACUGGGUCUAAUACCGGAUAGGAGCGUCCACCGCAUGGUGGGUGUUGGAAAGAUUUAUCGGUUUUGGAUGGACUCGCGGCCUAUCAGCUUGUUGGUGAGGUAAUGGCUCACCAAGGCGACGACGGGUAGCCGGCCUGAGAGGGUGACCGGCCACACUGGGACUGAGACACGGCCCAGACUCCUACGGGAGGCAGCAGUGGGGAAUAUUGCACAAUGGGCGCAAGCCUGAUGCAGCGACGCCGCGUGAGGGAUGACGGCCUUCGGGUUGUAAACCUCUUUCAGUAGGGAAGAAGCGAAAGUGACGGUACCUGCAGAAGAAGCACCGGCUAACUACGUGCCAGCAGCCGCGGUAAUACGUAGGGUGCGAGCGUUAUCCGGAAUUAUUGGGCGUAAAGAGCUCGUAGGCGGUUUGUCGCGUCUGUCGUGAAAGUCCGGGGCUUAACCCCGGAUCUGCGGUGGGUACGGGCAGACUAGAGUGCAGUAGGGGAGACUGGAAUUCCUGGUGUAGCGGUGGAAUGCGCAGAUAUCAGGAGGAACACCGAUGGCGAAGGCAGGUCUCUGGGCUGUAACUGACGCUGAGGAGCGAAAGCAUGGGGAGCGAACAGGAUUAGAUACCCUGGUAGUCCAUGCCGUAAACGUUGGGCACUAGGUGUGGGGACCAUUCCACGGUUUCCGCGCCGCAGCUAACGCAUUAAGUGCCCCGCCUGGGGAGUACGGCCGCAAGGCUAAAACUCAAAGGAAUUGAC
Molecule: ribosomal RNA, 860 nt
Filed under: Micrococcus sp.
Lineage: Bacteria; Bacillati; Actinomycetota; Actinomycetes; Micrococcales; Micrococcaceae
Description: bacterial SSU rRNA
Rfam family: Bacterial small subunit ribosomal RNA
Source: RNAcentral